Myotis davidii is the source of this 935-nucleotide long non-coding RNA. RefSeq lists it as uncharacterized. Lineage: Eukaryota; Metazoa; Chordata; Mammalia; Chiroptera; Vespertilionidae. The transcript is spliced from 3 exons. The record is from RefSeq and is a predicted model, not a curated record.
AGGAACCUUGGAGCUCUCAGAGAUGAAUGGGAAGAUUCCAUGUGCUAAUCUCAUUUCCAAAUGUAAUUGGCACCUGAAUUACGAAACCCUGCUUCCAAAGGCUGCGCUCACAGAGCCAUCCAUCCUCCCUCCAUCGAGGUGGGCCAGCGUGCCCCUCUGAUGCAUGGUCACUGCUCCAGCAACGGAGAAGUAGUGGAGCUGCUACAACCUUUUGGAGGGCAACUUGGUAGUAGGAGUCAAAAUUUUAUAUUUGCAGAACCAUCAGCCCCAAGAUUUCAUUUCACAGAUUUAAUUCCUCUCAAAGAAGCAAUUGGACAAGUGGCCCAAAGCAUCUGAACUGUCAAACUUUCCUUGUAGUGUGAUGGAGUAAGCAGAAGGCUUGAAUCUAUGCUACUCCCUGUGUGGCCAUGGCUCUCAUUGGAUCAACCCAACCAGAAGUCAGAGGACAAAGGAGUCCAGGUGAUACAGUUUGUAGAGUUCAGCUUCCAGAGGAACAAAGUAGAGCAGCAAGAAGCAGAAAUGAAUAAAGGAGAAGAAAUAGGUAACGGACAGCAUAUCACCUUCAGCAUAAGCUUCUUCAGAAUGGAUGCUGAAUCUUUAAAAAAUAAUGUUGCCAUAGUGUUUUAAACAUUCGUUACAAAAAUGCAUACAUCAUAGAAAAUAAAAGGCCCCCUGUUAGCCCCAGAAAUACCCAUAGCUAACUACCUGUUCUGAAAUAUUUCCGAUUUUACCGUAUAUAAAAGCACUCUGAAUAUGGGUCUGUAGAAGACUGCAGUUCCAAAAAUGACCACAGCAAUAUUUCUGGUCUCCCGUGGUCUUCUUGACAUUGCCACGCCCCUUCACAAGGUGAGUCUAUUUUUCCUCCCCUUGAACCUGGGGAGGGUUUUGUGAUUGCUUGGACAGGGAGAAUGUGGCGAAGUGAUGCUGCAUGACUU